RNAcentral lists this ribosomal RNA (305 nucleotides) under uncultured bacterium. Its description in RNAcentral is "bacterial SSU rRNA". It matches the Rfam family "Bacterial small subunit ribosomal RNA", at positions 333 to 655 of the family's 1533-position model. The record is from RNAcentral.
UGUCACCUACGGGAGGCAGCAGUCGGGAAUAUUGCGCAAUGGAGGAAACUCUGACGCAGUGACGCCGCGUAUAGGAAGAAGGUUUUCGGAUUGUAAACUAUUGUCGUGAGGGAAGAAAAUGACGGUACCUGAAGAAGAAGCCCCGGCUAACUACGUGCCAGCAGCCGCGGUAAUACGUAGGGGGCAAGCGUUAUCCGGAUUUACUGGGUGUAAAGGGGGCGCAGACGGCGAUGCAAGCCAGGAGUGAAAGCCCGGGGCCCAACCCCGGGACUGCUCUUGGAACUGCGUGGCUGGAGUGCAGGAGG